This 1590-nucleotide ribosomal RNA is filed under the name Triticum aestivum (bread wheat). RNAcentral describes it as "partial small subunit ribosomal RNA". The record is from RNAcentral. Lineage: Eukaryota; Viridiplantae; Streptophyta; Magnoliopsida; Poales; Poaceae.
AUGGUUCUUGGAGCGUUCUUUGCAACUGCAGCCUCGGUGCCAUGGAGACGGAGCCUCCUCCUGCUCCCGACCCUUGCGCUCCUGUGGCAGCUCUGCCGGUUGCUGCACCGGCUGUGGUGGCGGCCGCGGUGCCUCGAGCGGGAGCUCCGGUCCAAGGGCCUCCGCGGCACGUCCUACCGCUUCCUCACCGGCGACCUCAGGGAACAGGGCCGGCGGAACAAGGACGCCUGGUCGAGGCCGCUGCCGCUGCGGUGCCACGACAUCGCCCCUCGCGUGGCACCACUCCUCUGCGAUUCCGUCCGGGAGCACGGCAAGGUGAGCCUCUCGUGGUUCGGCCCGAUCCCCAAGGUAACCAUCGCCGACCCCGAGCUUGCCAAGAGCGUGCUGUCCGACAAGUCCGGGCACUUCGAGAAGCCCAAGUUCCCGGCGCUGUGGAAGCUGCUCGCCAACGGCCUCUUGAACCACGAGGGCGAGAAGUGGGUCAAGCACCGGCGGCUCCUCAACCCUGCCUUCCAUCUGGAGAAGAUCAAGUGCAUGCUGCCAGAGUUUUCGGCGUGCUGCGAAGAGUUGGUGGGCAGAUGGACGGAGUCCAUCGGCUCCAGUGGAGGUAUGCACGAGCUGGAUAUUUGGCCAGAGCUCAAAAACCUGGCCGGAGAUGUCAUUUCCCGCACCGCAUUCGGCAGCAGCUACCUUGAAGGAAUGAAGAUAUUUCAGCUGCAAACCGAGCAAGCAGAGCGCCUCAUCGCAAACAUUCGGAGGAUUCUUAUUCCCGGCUACUUAUCUUUGCCAACCCCAAACAAUAAAAGGAUGUAUCAGGUCAACAACGAGGUUGAAUCGAUUCUACGCGGUUUAAUUGCGAAAAGAACUAAAGCGAUCAAGGAAGGAGAAAGCACCAAAGAUGACUUACUUGGGUUAUUGCUAGAGUCAAACAUGAGGCACACAUAUGACAAUGGUCAAUCCAGCAUGGGGAUGACAAAUGAAGAUGUCAUCGAGGAGUGCAAGACGUUCUACUUUGCAGGAAUGGAGACAACAUCGGUACUACUCAUGUGGACCAUGAUCGUUCUAAGCAUGCAUCCGGAGUGGCAGGACCGUGCAAGGGAGGAGGUCCUAGGUUUAUUUGGGAAAAACAAACCUGGAUAUGAAGGUCUAAAUCGACUUAAAACGGUGACCAUGAUCCUCUAUGAGGUUCUUCGGUUGUAUCCUCCAAGCAUUCAUUUUAGCCGGAAGACAUGCAAGAAGGUGCUAAUCGGAGACAAAAGGUACCCAGCUGGCAUGAUGAUUGAGCUCUCCGUACUACUCAUGCACCAUGACCCUGACAUUUGGGGAAGCGAUGUGCAUGAAUUCAAGCCGGAGAGGUUCGCUGAGGGGAUCUCCAAAGCGUCCAGGAAUUCAGGCGCGUUUCUUCCAUUCGGCUGGGGACCACGGAUUUGCAUCGGCCAGAAUUUUGCGCUUACUGAGGCCAAGAUGGCGAUUUGCAUGAUCCUUCAACGUUUCGACUUCGUGCUUGCCCCGUCCUAUACUCAUGCGCCAUAUACCGUGGUAACACUACAUCCAAUGCAUGGCGCACAAAUUAGGCUUGGACUCAUCUAA